CCACUGCCUAAAUAAAUAUUAAAACUUUGCCUCUCUUUUAUAUUUCAGAUUUAAUUGUAAAUAGAAGUUCUGAUGUUUCCUUAUGGAAGUACAGGGAGGACUGAGGGCGGUGGAGGAAGAAUGAAGAGGGCUGGUCUGCUUGUUACUCAUCCUGUGAGUCACUGCUUGCGUGUCUGAAAACUACAGAUCUUUCGUGAGUAACUCAAACUCUUUUUAACUAAAAGCUUAAGUAAUCCUUGGAGGAAAUGAGAGUUUAUAAUUGGAUUACCAGAUCCUAUUUAAUCUUAUAA
Molecule: long non-coding RNA, 290 nt
Filed under: Capra hircus (goat)
Lineage: Eukaryota; Metazoa; Chordata; Mammalia; Artiodactyla; Bovidae
Description: lncRNA (ENSCHIG00000007465.1)
Source: RNAcentral